UCAAACUUGGUCAUUUAGAGGAAGUAAAAGUCGUAACAAGGUUUCCGUAGGUGAACCUGCGGAAGGAUCAUUACAAAUCCAACCUGAGAGGGAUGGGUGGGUGCGGUGGGCGGGGUAACCAUCCCCUGCUCUCCCUCCCCCAGCCCUCUCGACCACACCACGUCGAAGUGUUCCGGUAUAGGCGGCGGCGGCGGGGGGGGGCCUUGCGCCCUGUUGCCUGCGCGCCGCCUGUGCUUCCAUAUACCACACUCGUUCACACACAGUUGCCCAAAGUGUGGCCGGCGGCCGGCGGCUCUCGCAGCCUCAGCUACCUACCCGUGCCAUACAACACACACAACACAACCUAGAACAACUUAUAACAAUGGAUCUCUAGGCUCUUGCAUCGAUGAAGAACGCAGC
RNAcentral lists this unclassified non-coding RNA (399 nucleotides) under uncultured fungus. RNAcentral describes it as "partial contains small subunit ribosomal RNA, internal transcribed spacer 1, and 5.8S ribosomal RNA". The stretch from base 1 to 73 matches the Rfam family "Eukaryotic small subunit ribosomal RNA", at positions 1759 to 1831 of the family's 1831-position model. The record is from RNAcentral. Lineage: Eukaryota; Fungi.